CAAGGUAGAGCCGGGAGAAGAGAGGGUUGGGAGGGGGGAAGUGGCGGCGGCGGUGGGGGGGCGGCGCUCGAGGCGGCGGGGUUAGAGGGGCGCCGUCGGUACCGCUUGUACGUCCUCAGCGAGCGGGACCACCCGUGCUACGCGCCGGUGUUGCUGCACCACUGCCGCUAGCGGCGCGGCUAGCUGUUGAGCGGGAUGUAGCACAGGCCGAGGGCGCUGUUCAGCGACGACCAGACCCUGGAGUGGUUGGGCCACGGCAGGGAGCCGCUGCCGUGGCAGCCGUGGCUGAUGCGGCACGGGAAGGCGGCGGAGUGGCCGGUGCCGGUGAAGCAGGUCCUGCACCAGUAGUCGAGGCUGCCGGUCAAGCGCGAGAGGCCGAGGACCCUGCCGCUCGAGGCGGAGACCCUGGAGAGGUGACCGGAGUGGUGGGCGGCGAAGCAGCCGGUGUGGUUCCUGCAGUAGAGCCAGCGGAAGAGGCAGCUGUUGGCGGUCUAGCAGAGGCGGAGGGCGCUGUUGUGGUAGUUCGAGACCUUGUGGGAGCCGCUCACGUUCAUGUGGUAGCCGCCGCUGUACCCGCCGCCGCUCCCGGUGUGGCCGACCCAGAGCACGCAGUCCAAGAGGGGGUUGUAGGUCGUCGGGUGGUAGCAGAGGCCGAGGACCCUGUUCUGGCAGUUCCAGACCUUAGAGUGGUUGACGUUCGAGGCGAGGUGGGAGCGGCCGGUGCCACCGAUGCACUUGCGGCAGCGGCAGUCGGGGCUACCGAGCGAGACGCGGAGGCCGCCGUUCCUGCCGCAGUGCGACGAGACCCUGGACAGGCUCCCCUUCUCCGACAUGGUCGACCUUCGGCCGAGGUAGUAGGUACGCGAGACGAAGAGCGGGUUGGCGAUGACCGAGACGCGACGCUGUCUCCUCAGACAGUUCUAGACCCUGGAGCUCAGGUUCGUACAGCACGUCCUGGAGUUCGGUCUUCACGUCCAGAGGUUCUUGGUCUACGACAUGACGUGUUCGAACUCGACCUCGCGCCUGCCUUCGUGGGAGAUGUGGCCUAUGUGGCUGCCCUGGUAGUCCCAGAAGUUCUAGGUUCGGCCCAAGCGGCCUAUGCGCAUCCCCAGAACGACCGGUCUCUCCAACAUUACGGGCAGUUCAAAAACUGACAAGACUCCGUUGUAACAGACGGACCAUGAAAGUCGAACUCAAUGACAAAUGAAAGACGAAUCCACUAAACAACUACUCGUGUAAUACUCCAUGAUACCUUCUGCUAGACAAAGCGUGGUCCCAAAAACGACGAAAGUUAUAUGACGGUUGAGAAAUCGGCGCGG
RNAcentral lists this ribosomal RNA (1319 nucleotides) under Triticum aestivum (bread wheat). Its description in RNAcentral is "partial small subunit ribosomal RNA". The record is from RNAcentral. Lineage: Eukaryota; Viridiplantae; Streptophyta; Magnoliopsida; Poales; Poaceae.